UGGCAUCUCUCUUUCCGUAAAUUGCAAGUAAUGCAUAGUUUUCUGAUAGGCUUACUUCCAAUACUAAUUUUGUAAAUAUUUCUUCUUCCUGGAUAGCCUUCAAAUUCAUUGCUUGAGUAGAAAAUUGCAUCAUUUGUUACUCUAAAAAUAUAUAUUGCCUCCCAUUCUCCACUUGUAAUUUGGAUUGCAUUCUCCACAGAACCAUUGAUGUAAUGUAUAUGCUUAUAACCAUUUUUGUCACUAAAAAUUUUGUAGUACGAACUGCCGUCUGAGGUAAAAUAUGGUGCAGAAACAAAGAAUCCGCCUGCCCAUCCUGUUUGACUCUCCUCGAUGUGCUGUUGAUUCUCUGGACAGUCCCAAGUAUUUGAAUUUUCUUUGAAGUCACAAAUAGCUAAGACUGAAAAAUUUUGGAUUCUCUUUAGCCAUUGCACACCAACUCGACUAUCUGUUACCCAAGUAAGCCAAGUAAAAUAAUGAUCACUUGAUGCAAUCACUGCAGGAACUGGCACCUCUUUAGGACCAAAUGCUUCAAUGUUAGUAGUGUCUACAAUGAACACUUUAACAGUAGGAUUUUUAGCACCAGCCUUGGGGUAUGGGAUAAUUAUUUUUCUUGGGUAUUGGUCCUCGCCAAAAUACGAAUAUUCAAUUACUGGUAUAUCAGAAUCAUUAAAUUGUACAUAUGCUAAGUAUUUUCCACUUGGAGACCACCACAAUGCAUAUUUAGUUGCUAGCAUUUCCUCUUCAUAGACCCAAUCUGGUAUCCCAUUAAAUAUUUCAUUUUCUUUUCCAUCACUAGUUAGUUUAAUUGGUGCCUCUCUUGGACUUUGUUUCAAAUAGAUAUUAUUUUGGUAAACAUACGCCAAUUUGUGUCCAACGGGUGACCAGGAUAUAUACUGAAUUUUAUGUGGAAGCUGAUUUUCUGUUACAAAACCACCAUAUAUGAGAUCAUAAAUGUGGUAUGAUGCAGUAUAAGAAUAUCUCCACAGCUUUGAAUAAUUGCUCUCCAGAGCUAUGAAGUAUUUGUCUGAUGACAUCACAUAAUUUGAAGCAUUAACUUGUUUCAUUGUGCUGUUGGUCAUGAUGGUAGUUAGGUAGUUCAUGUCAACAUUGAAAAGAAUAAUAUCAUCUUCUUGAUUCUGGUGAAGAUAUUCACUAUCUGACACCCAGUAUGGAAAAUAUGUUUUAUAUUGAAAAUUUCCAUUCAAGUAAUCAUCCAGUGUAAGAGCUCUAGGACCAUCAACUGUGGUGACAACUUUGGACGGAAGCAGUACAAUACACAUAAGUAAUAAGGAAAGCAAAACACAUACAACCACGCCAAAUAGUACUUUUAGCCGGGUCUUCAUUUUCCUGCAGUCUUCCUAAAGAACUCAAACUCUUUUUCUGGGAGUUGGUCAGCG
Molecule: long non-coding RNA, 1397 nt
Filed under: Gallus gallus (chicken)
Lineage: Eukaryota; Metazoa; Chordata; Aves; Galliformes; Phasianidae
Source: RNAcentral